Oncorhynchus tshawytscha (Chinook salmon) is the source of this 1823-nucleotide long non-coding RNA. RefSeq lists it as uncharacterized. NCBI's taxonomy places the organism in Eukaryota, Metazoa, Chordata, Actinopteri, Salmoniformes, Salmonidae. The record is from RefSeq and is a predicted model, not a curated record. The transcript has 2 exons.
AUAUAUAUUUUAGAAUAAGGCUGUAACGUAGCAAAAUGUGGAAAAAGUCAAGGGGUCUGAAUAAUUUCCGAAUGCUCUGUAUGUGUCAGAUCUGACCGUUUUUUUGUUUGUAUAUUUCUUACUCCUUAGUUGCAAGUUAAGGCUGUGUGUUUGGUGUGUACCAUUUGUUUUACAGGUAGCCUACAGUACCUGCCUUUUUUCUGAAAUCUUUCUCGUCCUCAUUCUGCCUCUGUUCAUACCUUUGCCCCAAAGUUUUACCCGUUCCAGUGACAGGAAAACUCCUGGUCAUAUUACAGUACGGAGCCUUCCUCUGCGCCACGUCACUCCCAUCUGAACUAUCUAUGUCACUGUGUCACAUUAUUUCCUAUUAAGUUAUAGUUUAAGGUAGAAAAGUCUAUUAAGUUAUAGUUUAAGGUAGAGAAGUCUAUUAAGUUAUAGUUUAAGGUAGAGAAGUCUAUUAAGUUAUAGUUUAAGGUAGAGAAGUCUAUUAAGUUAUAGUUUAAGGUAGAGAAGUCGUCUCAUGAGGAUUUUCAUUGAUGUUGUACUUUUUUUUAUCUUCAUUUAAACAAAAUGGUUUUACUUCACUGUGUAAUUGUUUAAUUUAUACAGAUAUUCACAACCCUUUACCACAACGACCAUAGUGUGAUUGACUGGCUAGAGAACCAACCCAACCCUGCUAUAAUUCUAAGUGUUCCUAGAUGUUACCCUCUGGGAGCUGGUCUUCAGGUCCCAGACACGGCUACAUGGUUCAUGGUUCAUCAACAGGACAACUACCAUAUAACUGUCUUUUAUCAUCAGUCCCUUACAAGGAUUCAUCGUUCCUGUGUGACGUCCUGUAUCUCAGUCUGUAACUCAGUCUGUAACUCAGUCCUGAGACUAAGAUACAGACUGAGAUACAGACUGAGAUACAGACUAAGAUACAGACUGAGUUACAGACUGAGUUACAGGCUGAGUUACAGACUGAGUUACAGACUGAGAUACAGACUGAGUUACAGACUGAGAUACAGACUGAGUUACAGACUGAGUUACAGACUGAGAUACAGGACUGAGUUACAGACUGAGAUACAGACUGAGUUACAGACUGAGAUACAGACUGAGAUACAGACUGAGAUACAGACUGAGAUACAGACUGAGUUACAGACUGAGAUACAGACUGAGUUACAGACUGAGUUACAGACUGAGUUACAGACUGAGAUACAGACUGAGUUACAGACUGAGUUACAGAGACUGAGUUACAGACUGAGUUACAGACUGAGUUACAGACUGAGUUACAGACUGAGUUACAGACUGAGUUACAGACUGAGAUACAGGACUGAGUUACAGACUGAGAUACAGACUGAGUUACAGACUGAGUUACAGACUGAGUUACAGACUGAGAUACAGGACUGAGUUACAGACUGAGUUACAGACUGAGUUACAGACUGAGUUACAGACUGAGAUACAGACUGAGAUACAGACUGAGUUACAGACUGAGUUACAGACUGAGUUACAGACUGAGAUACAGACUGAGAUACAGACUGAGUUACAGACUGAGUUACAGACUGAGAUACAGACUGAGAUACAGACUGAGUUACAGACUGAGUUACAGACUGAGAUACAGACUGAGUUACAGACUGAGAUACAGACUGAGAUACAGACUGAGAUACAGACUGAGUUACAGACUGAGUUACAGGCUGAGUUACAGACUGAGUUACAGACUGAGAUACAGACUGAGUUACAGACUGAGAUACAGACUGAGUUACAGACUGAGUUACAGACUGAGAUACAGGACUGAGUUACAGACUGAGAUACAGACUGAGUUACAGACUGAGAUACUGACUGAG